RNAcentral lists this ribosomal RNA (514 nucleotides) under Metschnikowia pulcherrima. RNAcentral's name for it is "partial large subunit ribosomal RNA". It matches the Rfam family "Eukaryotic large subunit ribosomal RNA", at positions 69 to 670 of the family's 3401-position model. Lineage: Eukaryota; Fungi; Ascomycota; Pichiomycetes; Serinales; Metschnikowiaceae. The record is from RNAcentral.
AAAGGAUUGCCUCAGUAACGGCGAGUGAAGCGGCAAAAGCUCAAAUUUGAAAUCCCCCGGGAAUUGUAAUUUGAAGAGAUUUGGGUCCGGCCGGCAGGGGUUAAGUCCACUGGAAAGUGGCGCCACAGAGGGUGACAGCCCCGUGAACCCCCUCAACGCCCUCAUCCCAGAUCUCCAAGAGUCGAGUUGUUUGGGAAUGCAGCUCUAAGUGGGUGGUAAAUUCCAUCUAAAGCUAAAUACCGGCGAGAGACCGAUAGCGAACAAGUACAGUGAUGGAAAGAUGAAAAGCACUUUGAAAAGAGAGUGAAAAAGUACGUGAAAUUGUUGAAAGGGAAGGGCUUGCAAGCAGACACUUAACUGGGCCAGCAUCGGGGCGGCGGGGAGCAAAACCACCGGGGAAUGUACCUUUCGAGGAUUAUAACCCCGGUCCUUACUCCCUCACUGCCCCGAGGCCUGCAAUCUAAGGAUGCUGGCGUAAUGGUUGCAAGUCGCCCGUCUUGAACCACGGACCAAA